AUACAGGGUGACAGCCCCGUACACAAAAAUGCACAUAUUGUGAGCUUGAUGAGUAGGGCGGGACACGUGGUAUCCUGUCUGAAUAUGGGGGGACCAUCCUCCAAGGCUAAAUACUCCUGACUGACCGAUAGUGAACCAGUACCGUGAGGGAAAGGCGAAAAGAACCCCGGCGAGGGGAGUGAAAAAGAACCUGAAACCGUGUACGUACAAGCAGUGGGAGCACGCUUAGGCGUGUGACUGCGUACCUUUUGUAUAAUGGGUCAGCGACUUAUAUUCUGUAGCAAGGUUAACCGAAUAGGGGAGCCGAAGGGAAACCGAGUCUUAACUGGGCGUUAAGUUGCAGGGUAUAGACCCGAAACCCGGUGAUCUAGCCAUGGGCAGGUUGAAGGUUGGGUAACACUAACUGGAGGACCGAACCGACUAAUGUUGAAAAAUUAGCGGAUGACUUGUGGCUGGGGGUGAAAGGCCAAUCAAACCGGGAGAUAGCUGGUUCUCCCCGAAAGCUAUUUAGGUAGCGCCUCGUGAAUUCAUCUCCGGGGGUAGAGCACUGUUUCGGCAAGGGGGUCAUCCCGACUUACCAACCCGAUGCAAACUGCGAAUACCGGAG
This 607-nucleotide ribosomal RNA is filed under the name Shigella sonnei. RNAcentral's name for it is "partial 23S ribosomal RNA". It matches the Rfam family "Bacterial large subunit ribosomal RNA", at positions 357 to 968 of the family's 2925-position model. The record is from RNAcentral. Lineage: Bacteria; Pseudomonadati; Pseudomonadota; Gammaproteobacteria; Enterobacterales; Enterobacteriaceae.